RNAcentral lists this ribosomal RNA (497 nucleotides) under uncultured bacterium. Its description in RNAcentral is "partial 16S ribosomal RNA". It matches the Rfam family "Bacterial small subunit ribosomal RNA", at positions 28 to 507 of the family's 1533-position model. The record is from RNAcentral.
GAUGAACGCUGGCGGCGUGCCUAAUACAUGCAAGUCGAGCGAACGGACGAGAAGCUUGCUUUUCUGAUGUUAGCGGCGGACGGGUGAGUAACACGUGGAUAACCUACCUAUAAGACUGGGAUAACUUCGGGAAACCGGAGCUAAUAUCGGAUAAUAUUUUGAACCGCAUGGUUCAAAAGUGAAAGACGGUCUUGCUGUCACUUAUAGAUGGAUCCGCGCUGCAUUAGCUAGUUGGUAAGGUAACGGCUUACCAAGGCAACGAUGCAUAGCCGACCUGAGAGGGUGAUCGGCCACACUGGAGCUGAGACACGGUCCAGACUCCUACGGGAGGCAGCAGUAGGGAAUCUUCCGCAAUGGGCGAAAGCCUGACGGAGCAACGCCGCGUGAGUGAUGAAGGUCUUCGGAUCGUAAAACUCUGUUAUUAGGGAAGAACAUAUGUGUAAGUAACUGUGCACAUCUUGACGGUACCUAAUCAGAAAGCCACGGCUAACUACGUG